Molecule: ribosomal RNA, 232 nt
Filed under: uncultured bacterium
Lineage: Bacteria
Description: partial 16S ribosomal RNA
Rfam family: Bacterial small subunit ribosomal RNA
Source: RNAcentral
UACGUAGGGUGCAAGCGUUAAUCGGAAUUACUGGGCGUAAAGCGUGCGCAGGCGGUUAUGUAAGACAGGUGUGAAAUCCCCGGGCUAACCUAGGAACUGCAUUUGUGACUGCAUAGCUAGAGUACGGUAGAGGGGGAUGGAAUUCCGCGUGUAGCAGUGAAAUGCGUAGAUAUGCGGAGGAACACCGAUGGCGAAGGCAUCCCCUGGACCGGCAUGACGCUGAGGCGCGGAA